This 260-nucleotide ribosomal RNA is filed under the name uncultured bacterium. RNAcentral describes it as "partial 16S ribosomal RNA". It matches the Rfam family "Bacterial small subunit ribosomal RNA", at positions 355 to 604 of the family's 1533-position model. The record is from RNAcentral.
UAGGGAAUCUUCGGCAAUGGACGAAAGUCUGACCGAGCAACGCCGCGUGAGUGAAGAAGGUUUUCGGAUCGUAAAACUCUGUUGGUGAGAANAAGAACGUUGGUGAGAGUGGAAAGCUCAUCAAGUGACGGUAACUACCCAGAAAGGGACGGCUAACUACGUGCCAGCAGCCGCGGUAAUACGUAGGUCCCGAGCGUUGUCCGGAUUUAUUGGGCGUAAAGCGAGCGCAGGUGGUUUAUUAAGUCUGGUGUAAAAGGCAG